AAAAUACAGACAAGAAGUAGAAAAUGAUCUGAAUAUGAGCUAAGCUGUGAGCUCCUGAGAAACAUCAUUCCCAACUAGGCGACGAACAAAUUCAGCAUGCAGUGAAUGUCCACCCUAUCAUGUUCACAUUUGUUAGAAAUCCAGGAAAUUACCUCAACAGAGCGAUCGCAAUUGCUGGAUCCGUCAAUCUCAAUGCGACAAUUAUCGACGCCACACGCCUCCAGAGCGGAGAGCAAGUGCUCGACGGUUCGAACGCUGUAGCCAUCUCUCGAAAGCGCAGUGCACAGAGGCGUGUCUCUCACAACAUUAUCAAUCGAUGCGCGAAUAAUAUUCGACCGGAAGAUGAAGUACCGGCCGGCGCGGGCCACCGCCGGAAGAAUUCUAACAGUGGAUAUGUCACCUGAGUGGAGUCCCCGACCGGUUCUCUCGAUGCAAUUCGUCACAGUUUUCUGCAGAUUGCCCGUCUGCGAAUAGAAGCUGCAGUUAGUCAGCUCGUGCGACUUUCAGUGUAUAACAAAGUGCGUGCGUGUGUAUGUGUGUGAGAGAGUACGGGUUUCCAUGAGAGGACGGCGGAGGACUUGAGAGAUUUGAAGGCGGCGGCGACGCUCAUUUGAAUACUACCGUUGCUGCUGCUGCCCAAUUCUCUCGCCGACGCAUGUUUAAUUUUGACUAUUUCCGCUAUCGGUGAGCAAUCAGUCGAAUUCAACCGAUUUUC
Salvia miltiorrhiza (redroot sage) is the source of this 715-nucleotide long non-coding RNA. RefSeq lists it as uncharacterized. The record is from RefSeq and is a predicted model, not a curated record. Lineage: Eukaryota; Viridiplantae; Streptophyta; Magnoliopsida; Lamiales; Lamiaceae. The transcript has 2 exons.